AUGAAGGACACGCAGGACANGUGGCAGAGGAGGAGGCAACGACGGGCUCUUGGGGGCCUGCGUCUGUGGCAGAGGAGGAGGCGACGACGGGCUCUUGGGGGCCUGCGUCUGUGGCAGAGGAGGAGGCGACGACGGGCUCUUGGGGGCCCGCGCCUGGUGAGGGCAGGACUGGCGGUGACCGGAGGCAGAGACGCCGGAGGAGACGUCCUUGACUCCUGGACUGGAGGUGGCGGCGACGACUUCUGGACUGGAGGCGGCGGAGACGGCCUCUGGACUGGAGGUGGCAGAGACGGCCUCUGGACUGGAGGCGGCGGCAACAACCACUGGACUGGAGGCGGUGGCGACGGCCACUGGACUGGAGGCGGCCACUGGACUGGAGGCGGCGACGUCGGCCACUGGACUGGAGACGGCGGCGUCGACCACUGGACUGGAGACGGCGGCGUGGACCACCGGACUGGAGACGGCGUCGACCACUGGACUGGAGACGGCGUCGACCACUGGACUGGAGACGGCGUCGACCCCUGGACUGAAGGGGACGUCAACAACUGGACUGGAGACGGCGUCGACCACGGGACUGGAGACGGCGUCGACCACGGGACUGGAGACGGCGUCGACCACUGGACUGGAGACGGCAUCGACCAAUGGACUGGAGACGGCAUCGACCAAUGGACUGGAGACGGCGUCGACCACGGGACUGGAGACGGCGUCGACCCCUGGACUGGAGGGGACGUCGACCUCGGACUAGAGGGGACGCCGACCCCUGAACUGGAGGGGACGUCGACCUCUGAACUGGAGGGGACGUCGACCUCUGAAAUGGAGGGGACGUCGACCUCUGAACUGGAAGGGAGCGUCGACCUCUGGACACAAGGGAGCGUCGACCUCUGGACACGAAGUUGCGUCGACCUCUGGACACGAAGGUGCGUCGACCUCUGGACACGAAGGAGCGUCGACCUCUGGAUUCGAGGGAGCGUCGACCUUUGGACACGAAGGAACGUCGACCUCUGGACACGAGGGAGCGUCAACCUCUGGACACGAGGGAGCGUCGACCUCUGGACACGAAGGAACGUCGACCUCUGGAUACGAAGGAGCAUCGACCUCUGGACUGGAAAGAGCAUCGACCUCUGGACUGGAAACAGCGUCGACCUCUGGACUGGAGAGAGCGUCGACCUCUGGACUGGAGAGAGCAUUGGCCUCAGGACUGGAGAGAGCGUCGACCUCAGGACUGGAGAGAGCGUCGACCUCAGGACUGGAGAGAGCGUCGACCUCUGGACUGGAAAGAGCGUCGACCUCUGGACUGGAGAGAGCGUCGACCUCUGGACUGGAGAGAGAGUCGACCUCUGGACUGGAGAGAGCGUCGACCUCUGGACUGGAGAGAGAGUCGACCUCUGGACUGGAGAGAGCGUUGACCUCUGGACUGGGGAGAGCAUCGACCUCUGGACUGGAGAGAACGUCGACCUCAGGACUAGAAAGGGCGUCGACCACAGGACUGGAAGGAGCGUCGACUUCAGGAAUGGGGGGCGUCGACCUCCAUCGACUUCUGGUCCGGAGGCGUCGACUUCUGGUCUGGGGGCGUCGACUUCUGGACCGCCAACUUCUGGACCGUCGACUUCUGGACCAUCGACUUCUGGUCCGGUGGGCGUCGACUUCUGGUCCGGGAGCGUCGGCUUCUGGACUGCUGGCCUCUGGACCGUCGGCUUCUGGAGUGGAGGAGGAGUUGCUGCAGACGGGACCGCUUGGACAGGCUGGACCGGAUGCGGUGUGACCUCCGGGACCACCGCUGGAACUGGAUGCGGUGCAACCUUUCGGACCACCACGGGAACUGGACGCGGCGUGACCUCCGGGACCACCGCUGGAACAGGAUACGGUGCGACCUCCGGGACCACCACGGGGACUGGCUGUGAUGCAUCCACCGGGACCACCGCUGGAACAGGAGCUGACUGA
Molecule: long non-coding RNA, 1941 nt
Filed under: Nothobranchius furzeri (turquoise killifish)
Lineage: Eukaryota; Metazoa; Chordata; Actinopteri; Cyprinodontiformes; Nothobranchiidae
Description: lncRNA (ENSNFUG00015021515.1)
Source: RNAcentral